UACGGAGGGUGCAAACGUUGCUCGGAAUCAUUGGGCGUAAAGCGCACGUAGGCGGCCUGUUAAGUCGGGUGUGAAAGCCCUGGGCUCAACCCAGGAAGUGCACUCGAAACUGGCGGGCUUGAAUAUGGAAGAGGGUCGCGGAAUUCCCGGUGGAGCGGUGAAAUGCGUAGAGAUCGGAAAGAACACCAACGGCGAAAGCACUCUGCUGGGCCGACACUGACACUGAGAGACGAAAGCUAGGGGAGCGAAUGGG
Molecule: ribosomal RNA, 253 nt
Filed under: uncultured bacterium
Lineage: Bacteria
Description: partial 16S ribosomal RNA
Rfam family: Bacterial small subunit ribosomal RNA
Source: RNAcentral